ACUGCAUAGGACUAAUCUUGAGUACCCAACCAAAAAAAAAAAAUCAGAUGGAUAAUCAGGGUCACUAAUCUACUCUUAUCUCAACUGUGACUUUGAAUAUGGUGAUGAAGAUAUGAACAGAUACCAGCUGACCAUUCAAAAGAAUAAAGAAGGGAUUCUGGAGCUCACACGGGAGAAUAAGACGUGGGUUAGACUCUUCCAUAGAAUCCAGUGCUGAAGGCCAUCUUGCCUGAAAAAAUCCUGUCAGAGCCUCCUACUCUAACUUAGAUUUUGCAGAAAAGACUGGACAGAGUUGUGGUGGUUUUGGGGACUAGAAAGACGGUCCUUGUUGAUCAUAGUAGGGUUUCCUGCAAGGGAUAUGCUACUAAAUCCAGAUUAAUGGGAGUGAACCAGAUGCUUUCGCAGAGGCAUUGAGGAAGAGAACAGGCUCUUCUACUGAGUUGCUAAGGAAGGCAAGAAAACAGGGGUCCCAGGAAUCUUCUGCCCUUCUGCCCAUGACUCUGCCUGCACCAGACGACACUUACUGGUGUUCACUCAAGCACAGUACAUGAGUGAAAUGUGAAAUUUGGUGCCGUGACUCGGAUCGGGGGACCUCCCUUGGGAGAUCAAUCUUCUGUCCUCCUACUCUUUGCUCUGUGACAAAGAUCCACCUGCAACCUCUGGUCCUCAGACUAACCAGCCCAAGGAACACCUCACCAAUUUUAAAUCGGUUCCUUUCCUUUUCUGGUAGAGACAAAGGAGACGCAUUUUAUCCAUGAACCCAAAACUCCGGAGCCGGUCACGGACUCGGGAAAACAGUCUUCCCUUGGUGUUUAAUCACGCGGGGACAACUGCCUGAUUAUUCACCCACGUUUCAGAGG
This 860-nucleotide long non-coding RNA is filed under the name Homo sapiens (human). RNAcentral's name for it is "novel transcript, antisense to TRDN". Lineage: Eukaryota; Metazoa; Chordata; Mammalia; Primates; Hominidae. The record is from RNAcentral.